GUAGGGAAUAUUGGUCAAUGGACGAAAGUCUGAACCAGCCAUUCCGCGUGCAGGAAGAAGAUUCUAUGGAUUGUAAACUGCUUUUAGCAGAGAAGAAACGCCUUCAUUGAUGAGGGUUUGACGGUAUCUGCGGAAUAAGCACCGGCUAACUCCGUGCCAGCAGCCGCGGUAAUACGGGGGGUGCAAGCGUUAUCCGGAAUCACUGGGUUGAAAGGGUGCGUAGGCGGGAAAUUAAGUCAGUGGUGAAAGUCUGUUGCUUAACGAUAGAAUUGCCGGUGAUACUGAUUUUCUUGAAUUGGGUUGAGGUUAGCGGAAUGUGACAUGUAGCGGUGAAAUGCAUAGAUAUGUCAUGGAACACCAAUUGCGAAGGCAGCUAGCUGGGCCUUGAUUGACGCUGAGGCACGAAAGCGUGGGUAGCGAACAGGAUUAGAAACCCGAGUAGUCC
This 445-nucleotide ribosomal RNA is filed under the name uncultured bacterium. RNAcentral's name for it is "partial 16S ribosomal RNA". It matches the Rfam family "Bacterial small subunit ribosomal RNA", at positions 354 to 796 of the family's 1533-position model. The record is from RNAcentral.